RNAcentral lists this ribosomal RNA (253 nucleotides) under uncultured bacterium. RNAcentral describes it as "partial 16S ribosomal RNA". It matches the Rfam family "Bacterial small subunit ribosomal RNA", at positions 524 to 776 of the family's 1533-position model. The record is from RNAcentral.
CACGUAGGGACCGAGCGUUGUCCGGAUUCAUUGGGCGUAAAGAGCUCGUAGGCGGCCACUCAAGUCGAAUGUGAAACCUCGAGGCUCAACCUCGAGCCUGCAUUCGAUACUGGGCGGCUAGAGUCUGGUAGGGGGAUCUGGAAUUCCUGGUGUAGCGGUGGAAUGCGCAGAUAUCAGGAGGAACACCGGUGGCGAAGGCGGGAUCCUGGGCCAGUACUGACGCUGAGGAGCGAAAGCGUGGGGAUCAAACAGG